RNAcentral lists this ribosomal RNA (393 nucleotides) under uncultured bacterium. RNAcentral's name for it is "partial 16S ribosomal RNA". It matches the Rfam family "Bacterial small subunit ribosomal RNA", at positions 523 to 918 of the family's 1533-position model. The record is from RNAcentral.
CUACGGAGGAUCCGAGCGUUAUCCGGAUUUAUUGGGUUUAAAGGGUGCGCAGGCGGGAGAUUAAGUCGGCGGUGAAAUUUUGCAGCUCAACUGUAAAAGUGCCUUCGAAACUGGUUUCCUUGAGUGUAGAUGAAGUAGGCGGAAUUUGUGGUGUAGCGGUGAAAUGCAUAGAUAUCACGAGGAACUCCGAUUGCGCAGGCAGCUUACUAAACUACUACUGACGCUCAGGCACGAAGGCGUGGGGAUCAAACAGGAUUAGAUACCCUGGUAGUCCACGCAGUAAACGAUGAUUACUAGCUGUUUGCGAUACAAUGUAAGCGGCUGAGCGAAAGCGUUAAGUAAUCCACCUGGGGAGUACGUUCGCAAGAAUGAAACUCAAAGGAAUUGGCGGGG